GAUGAACGCUAGCGGCAGGCUUAAUACAUGCAAGUCAAGGGGUAGCAAUACAACCGGCGCACGGGUGAGUAACGCGUACACAACAUACCAUAUACUGGAGUAUAGCUUCGGGAAACUGAAGGUAAUCCUCCAUAACAUUGCGAGAAGGCAUCUAAUUGCAAUUAAAGUUUCGACGGUAUAUGAUUGGUGUGCGUUUGAUUAGCUAGUUGGUAGGGUAACGGCCUACCAAGGCGACGAUCAAUAGCUGGCGUGAGAGCGCGACCAGCCACACUGGAACUGAGACACGGUCCAGACUCCUACGGGAGGCAGCAGUAGGGAAUAUUGGACAAUAGGGCGGAAAGACCUGAUCCAGCCAUGCCGCCGUGAUAGAUGAAGGA
RNAcentral lists this ribosomal RNA (377 nucleotides) under uncultured bacterium. RNAcentral describes it as "bacterial SSU rRNA". It matches the Rfam family "Bacterial small subunit ribosomal RNA", at positions 28 to 415 of the family's 1533-position model. The record is from RNAcentral.